CCAGACUCCUACGGGAGGCAGCAGUGGGGGAUAUUGCACAAUGGGGGGAACCCUGAUGCAGCGACGCCGCGUGGGUGAAGGAGUAUUUCGGUAUGUAAAGCCCUAUCGGCAGGGAAGAAGCAAGACGGUACCUGACUAAGAAGCCCCGGCUAACUACGUGCCAGCAGCCGCGGUAAUACGGAGGAUGCGAGCGUUAUCCGGAUUUAUUGGGUUUAAAGGGUGCGUAGGCGGGCUGUUAAGUCAGCGGUAAAAGCCCGGGGCGCAACCCCGGCGAGCCGUUGAAACUGGCUGUCUUGAGAUGUCGAGAGGUAUGCGGAAUGCGCAGUGUAGCGGUGGAAUGCUUAGAUAUUGCGCAGAACUCCGAUUGCGAAGGCAGCAUACCGGCGGCGAUCUGACGCUGAGGCACGAAAGCGUGGGUAUCGAACGGGAUUAGAUACCCCCGUAGA
RNAcentral lists this ribosomal RNA (446 nucleotides) under uncultured bacterium. RNAcentral's name for it is "partial 16S ribosomal RNA". It matches the Rfam family "Bacterial small subunit ribosomal RNA", at positions 331 to 794 of the family's 1533-position model. The record is from RNAcentral.